Molecule: long non-coding RNA, 1594 nt
Filed under: Mytilus galloprovincialis (Mediterranean mussel)
Lineage: Eukaryota; Metazoa; Mollusca; Bivalvia; Mytilida; Mytilidae
Source: RNAcentral
ACUUGUAAAGUUUAAUAUUUGUAGAGACAGCAUAAAAUGGAUAGCUAUAUAUUUGUAAUUGAAAAAUUCAUGAUUUCUUUAAAAGAUUAUCAUAGAAUUAUAAAUGCACAUCUUUUCUUAAGAGGAAAUCUUUAGUGAAGUUCUCAUUUUUUUAACACAUAUAAAUGACACAAGAAUGUAUAAUAUUGUUUACAAAUAUAGGCGGGAUUUUUUUAAAAACUAAAUGGAUAAGAUGCAUAAUCACACUGCUAUAGAAUAUAUAUAAAAAACAAUUGUGUGAAUAACUCAAUGAAACUAAAAUAUUACCUUUCACACUCUUACAAUAAAUACACAUUUUACAUUAUAACAUAUAAAUAUAUCUUUCAUUUAACAAAUAUAUACAGCAAAUCUUUAAGUUAAUAACAACACACACAUACACACAACUAUAGCACUAAAUGAAAUAUGUAAGCUAUGUUACUAUUGGUUAAAUAUAUGACAGUGAUCACAUGAUACCUGUACAAGAAACAUUUGGUUAAUCAUAUGACACAUCACAUGAUACAAAUAAAUUAAAUAAAAUUAUAAACUAAUCACAAAACCCAAAUCACUGGUUUGAAAAUAUUACAGAACAUUAAAUAUGCACACUAACACAAUUAAUGGCUGGAUUCCUGAUAUGAUUUGCAUAACAAAAUAUGUCUUCUUCUCAUAGUACGUACCUCCUCUCAGGUAACCACAAUACAGGGUCAUGAAAAGUCAAAACCCUUUAUUAAUCUAAAGAAAAAUUAUCUCUCUGCCUAUUUUUUUGGUUCUUUUCACUCUUUCACUGUUCAUACUUGUAAUCUAAAACUCACAUUUAUAUUGUAAAAACUCAAAAACAGAUUUUUUUCAAUUUUCAAGUGAAUCUGAUGCUAAUUUUUAUUUUCAAAGCAUAUUAUCCUUGGACAAUACUCUUCACAAUAGUUAUAAAAUGUUGUAGGUGAAAAAGAGUUCAACAGUUAAGAGCUACAUUUUGUCUACAUUAAAAAUUAUAUAGAAGUACAGAAAAUUAUUGCUUUCCCUAGUGAAAACAAUUGUUGCUGAAUACCCUAUGUUAAAUAUUCAAGACAAGACUAUAUAAAAUGAGAUGUUAUAUAUAUUCUGAUUAUUCUAAACGCUAAAAAUUUGUAAAUACCUCCAUUACAUAUUGUCAAAAUAAUUAUUAAAUGUACGCAUAAAAUGAGUGACAGUGAUAAGUUGAAAAUGAAUAGAGAUGAUUUGGUUUAAUUUGUCUGUAUCUUUGAUGUUUUGAUGUUUUGAUUUCAGAUUCAUAUUUUAUUAUGCUGCUCUAUAAUUAUGACUAUUGUAAUUCCUAUCACUAUUAUCAAAAACAUGGAGUGUUGUAGGCAAUGAAUUAAUCGCCUAAAAUAUAGAAAACUAUUUUUUUUCAAACACAUUGCAAUUUUUACCUAUUUUAUUUUUAUCUUUCCUUUCAAAUACAAAUUACUGCACAGAUGUUUUUUUGACUGCAGACACAUGUACUUGUUUAUUUUAUUUAAGCUUUUUAUUGACGUGCUAUUUCCUCCCCCUUAAGUAUAUUCACAUAUUGCUUCAGCUUGAAAUCAACCUGGAAGGGUAGGAC